RNAcentral lists this ribosomal RNA (252 nucleotides) under uncultured bacterium. RNAcentral describes it as "partial 16S ribosomal RNA". It matches the Rfam family "Bacterial small subunit ribosomal RNA", at positions 524 to 776 of the family's 1533-position model. The record is from RNAcentral.
UACGUAGGGGGCAAGCGUUGUCCGGAAUUAUUGGGCGUAAAGCGCGCGCAGGCGGUUAUGUAAGUCUGAUGUUAAAGCCCGGGGCUCAACCUCGGUUCGCAUUGGAAACUGUGUAACUUGAGUGCAGAAGAGGAAAGUGGUAUUCCACGUGUAGCGGUGAAAUGCGUAGAUAUGUGGAGGAACACCAGUGGCGAGGGCGACUUUCUGGUCUGUAACUGACGCUGGGGCGCGACAGCGUGGGGAGCAAACACG